This 253-nucleotide ribosomal RNA is filed under the name uncultured bacterium. Its description in RNAcentral is "partial 16S ribosomal RNA". It matches the Rfam family "Bacterial small subunit ribosomal RNA", at positions 524 to 776 of the family's 1533-position model. The record is from RNAcentral.
UACGUAGGGUGCAAGCGUUGUCCGGAAUUAUUGGGCGUAAAGAGCUCGUAGGCGGUCUGUCGCGUCUGCUGUGAAAACUCAGGGCUUAACCCUGAGCUUGCAGUGGGUACGGGCAGACUAGAGUGCGGUAGGGGAGACUGGAAUUCCUGGUGUAGCGGUGAAAUGCGCAGAUAUCAGGAGGAACACCGGUGGCGAAGGCGGGUCUCUGGGCCUUACCUGACGCUGAGGAGCGAAAGCGUGGGUAGCGAACAGG